Molecule: ribosomal RNA, 472 nt
Filed under: uncultured bacterium
Lineage: Bacteria
Description: partial 16S ribosomal RNA
Rfam family: Bacterial small subunit ribosomal RNA
Source: RNAcentral
AGUGAACGCUGGCGGUAGGCCUAACACAUGCAAGUCGAACGGCAGCACAGUAAGAGCUUGCUCUUACGGGUGGCGAGUGGCGGACGGGUGAGGAAUACAUCGGAAUCUACUUUUUCGUGGGGGAUAACGUAGGGAAACUUACGCUAAUACCGCAUACGACCUACGGGUGAAAGCAGGGGAUCUUCGGACCUUGCGCGAUUGAAUGAGCCGGUGGCGGAUUAGCUAGUUGGCGGGGUAAAGGCCCACCAAGGCGACGAUCCGUAGCUGGCCUGAGAGGAUGACCGGACACAGUGGGAAUGAGAGACGGACCAGAGGCCGACGGGAGGCAGCAGGGGGGAAUAUUGCACAAGGGGCGGAAGCCUGAUGCAGCAACGCCGCGUGCGGGAUGAAGGCCUGCGGGUUGUAAACAGCUUUCGCCUGUCACGAAGCGUGAGUGACGGUAAUGGGUAAAGAAGCACCGGCUAACUACGUG